Molecule: ribosomal RNA, 299 nt
Filed under: uncultured Pseudomonas sp.
Lineage: Bacteria; Pseudomonadati; Pseudomonadota; Gammaproteobacteria; Pseudomonadales; Pseudomonadaceae
Description: partial 16S ribosomal RNA
Rfam family: Bacterial small subunit ribosomal RNA
Source: RNAcentral
GUAACGAGCGCAACCCUUGUCCUUAGUUACCAGGCACGUUAUGGUGGGCACUCUAAGGAGAACUGCCGGUGGACAAACCGGAGGGAAGGUGGGGAUGACGUCAAGUCAUCAUGGCCCUUACGGCCUGGGCUACACACGUGCUACAAUGGUCGGUACAAAGGGUUGCCAAGCCGCGAGGUGGAGCUAAUCCCAAUAAAACCGAUCGUAGUCCGGAUCGCAGUCUGCAACUCGACUGCGUGAAGUCGGAAUCGCUAGUAAUCGUGAAUCAGAAUGUCACGGUGAAUACGUUCCCGGGCCUU